GACGAACGCUGGCGGCGUGCUUAACACAUGCAAGUCGAACGGAAAGGCCCUGCUUUUGUGGGGUGCUCGAGUGGCGAACGGGUGAGUAACACGUGAGUAACCUGCCCUUGACUUUGGGAUAACUUCAGGAAACAGGGGCUAAUACCGGAUAGGAGCUCCUGCUGCAUGGUGGGGGUUGGAAAGUUUCGGCGGUUGGGGAUGGACUCGCGGCUUAUCAGCUUGUUGGUGGGGUAGUGGCUUACCAAGGCUUUGACGGGUAGCCGGCCUGAGAGGGUGACCGGCCACAUUGGGACUGAGGUACGGCCCAGACUCCUACGGGAGGCAGCAGUGGGGAAUAUUGCACAAUGGGCGGAAGCCUGAUGCAGCAACGCCGCGUGCGGGAUGACGGCCUUCGGGUUGUAAACCGCUUUCGCCUGUGACGAAGCGUGAGUGACGGUAAUGGGUAAAGAAGCACCGGCUAACUACGUG
RNAcentral lists this ribosomal RNA (468 nucleotides) under uncultured bacterium. RNAcentral's name for it is "partial 16S ribosomal RNA". It matches the Rfam family "Bacterial small subunit ribosomal RNA", at positions 28 to 507 of the family's 1533-position model. The record is from RNAcentral.